CCCUAUUAUUUUAGGAUGUUAAUUUUUGUGCUGGAGUAGUAUUAGUUAUGUUCUUGAAACUUAAAGAAUUUGGCGGUAUCUUAUUCCGUUCAGAGGAAUCUGUCUCGUUAUCGAUAGUCCGCGUUGGACCUUACUUAGUUGCUAUGGUUUGUAUACCGCCGUUUAUUUGAUUAUGCUUUUAGGGUUUUUAAUUUUCUGGUUUCUUUACUUUGGCUUAUUUCAGGUCAAGGUGCAGCUUGUUUCUAAGUGUUAUUGAUGGAUUACAUUGGUCUUUGUUUUUUGGAUUGUUGGUUGAGAUUAUUGAUAUGAAAUUGGAUUUGAUUGUAAUGUUUUGUAGAUUGUUUUCAUGAUAAUUGGUUCUAAGAUAUGUACACAUCGCCCGUCGCUCUCGUUUGUUUUUAAUGAGAUAAGUC
RNAcentral lists this ribosomal RNA (413 nucleotides) under Heterotermes platycephalus. RNAcentral describes it as "partial 12S ribosomal RNA". Lineage: Eukaryota; Metazoa; Arthropoda; Insecta; Blattodea; Rhinotermitidae. The record is from RNAcentral.